GUGUGUCUUUGAAGGGAAAUACUUACUGGUU
This 31-nucleotide small RNA is filed under the name Arabidopsis thaliana (thale cress). Its description in RNAcentral is "ATSL141810". The record is from RNAcentral. Lineage: Eukaryota; Viridiplantae; Streptophyta; Magnoliopsida; Brassicales; Brassicaceae.